Molecule: ribosomal RNA, 374 nt
Filed under: Shigella flexneri
Lineage: Bacteria; Pseudomonadati; Pseudomonadota; Gammaproteobacteria; Enterobacterales; Enterobacteriaceae
Description: partial 23S ribosomal RNA
Rfam family: Bacterial large subunit ribosomal RNA
Source: RNAcentral
GGUUAAGCGACUAAGCGUACACGGUGGAUGCCCUGGCAGUCAGAGGCGAUGAAGGACGUGCUAAUCUGCGAUAAGCGUCGGUAAGGUGAUAUGAACCGUUAUAACCGGCGAUUUCCGAAUGGGGAAACCCAGUGUGAUUCGUCACACUAUCAUUAACUGAAUCCAUAGGUUAAUGAGGCGAACCGGGGGAACUGAAACAUCUAAGUACCCCGAGGAAAAGAAAUCAACCGAGAUUCCCCCAGUAGCGGCGAGCGAACGGGGAGCAGCCCAGAGCCUGAAUCAGUGUGUGUGUUAGUGGAAGCGUCUGGAAAGGCGUGCGAUACAGGGUGACAGCCCCGUACACAAAAAUGCACAUACUGUGAGCUCGAUGAGUA